UACCCAACAGCUAGCCCAACACCCUAAAACCAACCCUAAAAGAUUAAUAACCCCUAAGACAUAAUACUAGUAUUAAACAAAACAUUUUUCCCCCUCAGUAUGGGAGACAGAAAAGGAACCCCAGAGCAAUAGAGAAAGUACCGCAAGGGAAAGCUGAAAUAACAAAUGAAACAACUUAUUAAAGUAAGAAAAAGCAGAGCUAUGUCCUCGUACCUUUUGCAUCAUGAUUUAGCUAGUAACAAUCAAGCAAAGAGUACUUUAGUUUGCCACCCCGAAACUAMGUGAGCUACUCCAAGACAGCCUACCAAACAGGGCCUACCCGUAUCUGUGGCAAAAGAUUGGGGAGAACUUCGAGUAGAGGUGAUAAGCCUACCGAACUUAGUUAUAGCUGGUUGCUUAAGAAAUGAAUAGAAGUUCAGCCUCCCGGCUCCUCUAUUUUGGCCCCCUUACUAAUACCCUAAGACAUAUAGAGUAACCGAGAGAGUUAUUCAGAGGAGGAACAGCUCCCCUGAAAUAAGAUACAACUUUAUUAGAUGGUUAAAGAUCAUA
Molecule: ribosomal RNA, 549 nt
Filed under: Parapercis ramsayi (spotted grubfish)
Lineage: Eukaryota; Metazoa; Chordata; Actinopteri; Uranoscopiformes; Pinguipedidae
Description: partial 16S large subunit ribosomal RNA
Rfam family: Bacterial large subunit ribosomal RNA (bases 190-549)
Source: RNAcentral